UUCAUGUCCCCAUCUUCCAGGAAGAUCAAAGAGAGGUGCUGAGCUCAGAGAGAUGUGGUCCCUGGUGCCUCUGUGACCGGCUCUGGAUCCACUUCUGGGAAGCCCACUCCCAGAGACCAGAGAAGUCUUGCUUCUCCAGCAUGUUCAUGACGUCACUGCAGGAUGUCCUGUUGUAAAGACAGACUCUGGGCUGGGGGUGCAGCUCCAUGAAAGCCCUUGCCCAGCUCCGGGCCUGGGUCUCCCCCAGCACCACAGAGUCCAGGAGGAGAGACUGGACCAGGGGCCUUACUGGGCACAACGGAACACCAGGAGGCGCGUGGAGCAGCCAGAGUUUCUAGACCCCCCUCAGUCCUAUCCGUCACCGACGUGAGUGUUCCAGAAAUGGCACGAGAUUCCUCGAGCUGAUGUGUCCUGCUGGGAAGUCAGCAUCCAUCGGCUGUACGCUGCAGAAGCAACCAGAUUCCCAUCCCAAAGACUUGGAAAGCAGCUGUGAUACCAAACUGCAAAGUAUUCCCUGAAAAAAGACGGGGAAGUAGAGGUUUCGGAUGAUUUUUGAAUCCUGCCAUUGGAGUGAGCGAGGGUUGCUGACGCUGUGACAGAACCACAGUCCCUAUGGCAAGGAAAACAGGAACCAGCCAUGUGGGAUGAAUUAACUGAUGAGAUUAAUUAGAAUUUUUAUAACUUUUCGUUUGAAACACUGUAGCUCUUGAAGUCUUGCUGUUUAGAGUUAAGGGAACUUGCGUUUUCAGCUGUUGGUAAAAUAACUCGCAGCAAUUUGAUAAAAUACUCUUUUGUAAAAUAAAGGGAACACCCGUAUUUUUCUCCCCACCCCAUUGCAGAGGAUCGGAUCAUCAUCUCCAGGCUGUGGUGACAUCCGUACUUGACGGCUUCCCAGCCUGGACUGGGGUUACAGGUCUCACCUGAGGCUGCUCAUCACCACCUUUGAGAACCACUUGGAGAGCCAAGGCUGACUAGCCCCAGGUCCUGAAAGCCUCUGGGUGUGACCCAAGCCUGGACCAUGGGGGCAAAGGUGCGACCGCUCCUGGGCGCUUUGCACAGGUUUAGUGAACCUGGACUUUGCAAAAG
This 1086-nucleotide long non-coding RNA is filed under the name Ictidomys tridecemlineatus (thirteen-lined ground squirrel). Its description in RNAcentral is "lncRNA (ENSSTOG00000031586.1)". Lineage: Eukaryota; Metazoa; Chordata; Mammalia; Rodentia; Sciuridae. The record is from RNAcentral.